CAACCUGCCUCAAAGACCGGGAUAACAUUCCGAAAGGGGUGCUAAUACCGGAUGUGGCCACCCUGCUGCAUGACGGGGUGAUUAAAUCGAUGCUAGCAAUAGUAUCGGCUUUGAGAGGGGCUUGCGGCCUAUCAGCUAGAUGGUGGGGUAACGGCCUACCAUGGCGACGACGGGUAGCUGGUCUGAGAGGACGGCCAGCCGGACUGGGACUGAGAUACGGCCCAG
This 225-nucleotide ribosomal RNA is filed under the name uncultured bacterium. Its description in RNAcentral is "partial 16S ribosomal RNA". It matches the Rfam family "Bacterial small subunit ribosomal RNA", at positions 122 to 334 of the family's 1533-position model. The record is from RNAcentral.